Molecule: ribosomal RNA, 574 nt
Filed under: Inocybe pelargonium
Lineage: Eukaryota; Fungi; Basidiomycota; Agaricomycetes; Agaricales; Inocybaceae
Description: eukaryotic LSU rRNA
Rfam family: 5.8S ribosomal RNA (bases 231-384)
Source: RNAcentral
UUCCGUAGGUGACCUGCGGAAGGAUCAUUAUCGAAUAAACUUGAACAGGUUGUUGCUGGCCCCCCACAGGGGUAUGUGCACACUUGUCAAUUCUUAUUUCUCCAACUGUGCACCUAUUGUAGACCUAUGAUUCGUUCGAGUUGGGACUGCUGUGCUUUCAAGUCGGCUUUCCCUUGUCUAUGUCAUCUUCACAAAACAUGUAGAAAAUCCCAUUGAUAUAUAAUCAUAACAACUUUCAGCAACGGAUCUCUUGGCUCUCGCAUCGAUGAAGAACGCAGCGAAAUGCGAUAAGUAAUGUGAAUUGCAGAAUUCAGUGAAUCAUCGAAUCUUUGAACGCAUCUUGCGCUCCUUGGUAUUCCGAGGAGCAUGCCUGUUUGAGUGUCAUUUCAUGUUCUCUCAACCUCAUCUUUUGAUGUGGCUUGGAUGGUGGGGGGUGUGUGCAGGCUUGCCUCGAGCAGGGUCUGCUCCCCUGAAAUGCAUUAGCGGUAUCAUCUUUGUACUGCAGGUGUGAUAAAUUAUCUAUGCCUCUGGUAAUGAUUGUGCUGCUUUAGUGUUGUUGUUCUUGAAAAAAUGA